RNAcentral lists this ribosomal RNA (454 nucleotides) under uncultured bacterium. RNAcentral's name for it is "bacterial SSU rRNA". It matches the Rfam family "Bacterial small subunit ribosomal RNA", at positions 30 to 478 of the family's 1533-position model. The record is from RNAcentral.
CGAACGCUGGCGGCGUGCCUAAUACAUGCAAGUCGAGCGGACUUGAAGGAGUGCUUGCACUCCUGAUGGUUAGCGGCGGACGGGUGAGUAACACGUAGGUAACCUGCCCAUAAGACUGGGAUAACCCACGGAAACGUGAGCUAAUACCAGAUAGGCAUUUUCCUCGCAUGAGGGAGAUGAGAAAGGCGGAGCAAUCUGCCACUUAUGGAUGGACCUGCGGCGCAUUAGCUAGUUGGUAAGGUAACGGCUUACCAAGGCGACGAUGCGUAGCCGACCUGAGAGGGUGAUCGGCCACACUGGGACUGAGACACGGCCCAGACUCCUACGGGAGGCAGCAGUAGGGAAUCUUCCGCAAUGGACGAAAGUCUGACGGAGCAACGCCGCGUGAGUGAUGAAGGUUUUCGGAUCGUAAAGCUCUGUUGCCAGGGAAGAACGCCUAGGAGAGUAACUGCUC